GAAAAAGUAUGCAAGAACUGCUAAUUCAUGCCCCCAUGUCUGAUAACAUGGCUUUUUCA
Molecule: transfer RNA, 59 nt
Filed under: Bdeogale nigripes (black-footed mongoose)
Lineage: Eukaryota; Metazoa; Chordata; Mammalia; Carnivora; Herpestidae
Description: tRNA-Ser
Source: RNAcentral